This 357-nucleotide ribosomal RNA is filed under the name uncultured Acholeplasma sp. RNAcentral describes it as "bacterial SSU rRNA". It matches the Rfam family "Bacterial small subunit ribosomal RNA", at positions 1022 to 1382 of the family's 1533-position model. Lineage: Bacteria; Bacillati; Mycoplasmatota; Mollicutes; Acholeplasmatales; Acholeplasmataceae. The record is from RNAcentral.
UAUUCGGGGAGGACAGGUGGUGCAUGGUUGUCGUCAGCUCGUGUCGUGAGAUGUGGGUUAAGUCCCGCAACGAGCGCAACCCUAUUGCUAGUUACCAUCAUUAAGUUGGGGACUCUAGCGAGACUGCCAGUGAUAAACUGGAGGAAGGUGGGGAUGACGUCAAAUCAUCAUGCCCCUUAUGACCUGGGCUACAAACGUGAUACAAUGGCUGGAACAAAGGGAUGCGAAGCAGUGAUGUGGAGCGAAACCCAUAAAAACAGUCUCAGUUCGGAUUGAAGUCUGCAACUCGACUUCAUGAAGUCGGAAUCGCUAGUAAUCGCGGAUCAGAACGCCGCGGUGAAUACGUUCUCGGGGUUU